Molecule: ribosomal RNA, 484 nt
Filed under: uncultured bacterium
Lineage: Bacteria
Description: partial 16S ribosomal RNA
Rfam family: Bacterial small subunit ribosomal RNA
Source: RNAcentral
AUUGAACGCUGGCGGAAUGCUUUACACAUGCAAGUCGAACGGCAGCACGGGGGCAGCCCUGGUGGCGAGUGGCGAACGGGUGAGUAAUACAUCGGAACGUGCCCGGUCGUGGGGGAUAACGUAGCGAAAGUUACGCUAAUACCGCAUACGAUCUGAGGAUGAAAGCGGGGGACCUUCGGGCCUCGCGCGAUCGGAGCGGCCGAUGUCAGAUUAGGUAGUUGGUGGGGUAAAGGCCUACCAAGCCGACGAUCUGUAGCUGGUCUGAGAGGACGACCAGCCACACUGGGACCGAGACACGGCCCAGACUCCUACGGGAGGCAGCAGUGGGGAAUUUUGGACAAUGGGCGCAAGCCUGAUCCAGCCAUUCCGCGUGCAGGACGAAGGCCUUCGGGUCGUAAACUGCUUUUGUACGGAACGAAAAGGCUCUGGCUAAUACCUGGGGCUCAUGACGGUACCGUAAGAAUAAGCACCGGCUAACUACGUG